Molecule: long non-coding RNA, 335 nt
Filed under: Sorghum bicolor (sorghum)
Lineage: Eukaryota; Viridiplantae; Streptophyta; Magnoliopsida; Poales; Poaceae
Description: long non-coding RNA (SBIC_LNC007967)
Source: RNAcentral
CAUGUACAAGGAGUACCGUGAUACCACCCUCAAUGGUGCUGUGGAGCAGAUGUACAAUGAGAUGGCUUCCCGUCACCGUGUAAGGUCACCCUGCAUCCAGAUCAUCAAGACAGCAACAGUUGACUUCAAGCUCUGCAAGAGGGACAACACCAAACAGUUCCACAAUUCAAAGAUCAAGUUUCCUUUGGUUUACCGCAAAGUCAGGCCACCAACCAGGAAGCUGAAGACCACCUUCAAGGCUUCAAGGCCCAACUUGUUCAUGUGAUCCAACUCAUCCUGGCACCAUCCGAAAACUGUGAGCCUGGCAGUCUGGAGGGUUUCUAGUUCAGGUUAAU